GGGGCUGAUUCUGGAUUCGACGGGAUUUGCGAAACCCAAGGUGCAUGCCGAGGGGCGGUUGGCCUCGUAAAAAGCCGCAAAAAAUAGUUGCAAACGACGAAAACUACGCUUUAGCAGCUUAAUAACCUGCUUAGAGCCCUCUCUCCCUAGCCUCCGCUCUUAGGACGGGGAUCAAGAGAGGUCAAACCCAAAAGAGAUCGCGUGGAAGCCCUGCCUGGGGUUGAAGCGUUAAAACUUAAUCAGGCUAGUUUGUUAGUGGCGUGUCCGUCCGCAGCUGGCAAGCGAAUGUAAAGACUGACUAAGCAUGUAGUACCGAGGAUGUAGGAAUUUCGGACGCGGGUUCAACUCCCGCCAGCUCCACCA
RNAcentral lists this transfer-messenger RNA (363 nucleotides) under Escherichia coli. It matches the Rfam family "transfer-messenger RNA". Rfam says of the family: Bacterial tmRNA, also known as 10Sa RNA or SsrA, is named for its dual tRNA and mRNA-like properties. Its role is to liberate the mRNA from a stalled ribosome. To accomplish this part of the tmRNA is used as a reading frame that ends in a translation stop signal. RNAcentral also lists the same sequence under 1 other name. Lineage: Bacteria; Pseudomonadati; Pseudomonadota; Gammaproteobacteria; Enterobacterales; Enterobacteriaceae. The record is from RNAcentral.